UCCGGUGUGGUCCAAAUGGUAAGGCGGCUCCCUGUUAAGGAGAUGGUUGAAGGUUCGAUUCCUUCCGCCGGAG
Molecule: transfer RNA, 73 nt
Filed under: Pirellulaceae bacterium
Lineage: Bacteria; Pseudomonadati; Planctomycetota; Planctomycetia; Pirellulales; Pirellulaceae
Description: tRNA-Asn
Rfam family: tRNA
About the family: Transfer RNA (tRNA) molecules are approximately 80 nucleotides in length. Their secondary structure includes four short double-helical elements and three loops (D, anti-codon, and T loops).
Source: RNAcentral